Molecule: ribosomal RNA, 481 nt
Filed under: uncultured bacterium
Lineage: Bacteria
Description: partial 16S ribosomal RNA
Rfam family: Bacterial small subunit ribosomal RNA
Source: RNAcentral
GACGAACGCUGGCGGCGUGCCUAACACAUGCAAGUCGAACGGAGAUAUGAUUUCGGUUGUAUCUUAGUGGCGAACGGGUGAGUAACGCGUGAGCAACCUGACCUUUAGAGGGGGAUAACACUUGGAAACAGGUGCUAAUACCGCAUAAGACCACGAUCUGGCAUCAGGACGAUGUCAAAGGAGCAAUCCGCUGAAGGAGGGGCUCGCGUCCCAUUAGAUAGAUGGCGGGGUAACGGCCCACCAUGUCGACGAUGGGUAGCCGAGCUGAGAGGAUGAUCGGCCAAAGUGGGACUGAGGCGCGGUCCAGACUCCGACGGGAGGCAGCAGUGGGGAAGAUUGGGAAAUGGGCGCAAGCCUGACCCAGCAACGCCGCGUGAGGGAAGAAGGUCUUCGGAUUGUAAACCUCUGUCCUUGGUGACGAAACAAAUGACGGUAGCCAAGGAGGAAGCCCCGGCUAACUACGUGCCAGCCGCCGCCGUAA